UACGUAGGGGGCUAGCGUUGUCCGGAAUCAUUGGGCGUAAAGAGCGUGUAGGCGGCCCGGUAAGUCCGCUGUGAAAGUCGGGGGCUCAACCCUCGAAUGCCGGUGGAUACUGUCGGGCUAGAGUGCGGAAGAGGCGAGUGGAAUUCCUAGUGUAGAGGUGAAAUUCGUAGAUAUUAGGAAGAACACCAGUGGCGAAGGCGGCUCACUGGCCCGGUACUGACGCUCAUGUGCGAAAGCGUGGGGAGCAAACAGG
RNAcentral lists this ribosomal RNA (253 nucleotides) under uncultured bacterium. RNAcentral describes it as "partial 16S ribosomal RNA". It matches the Rfam family "Bacterial small subunit ribosomal RNA", at positions 524 to 776 of the family's 1533-position model. The record is from RNAcentral.